UAUAAUGAUGAUUAAGUCUAGAUGGGAAUCUCUCUGAUGCACCUUUUAAAUUGUUAAUGAUGUUUGUUUUGUGCCGGUGAUG
Molecule: small nucleolar RNA, 82 nt
Organism: Arabidopsis thaliana (thale cress)
Lineage: Eukaryota; Viridiplantae; Streptophyta; Magnoliopsida; Brassicales; Brassicaceae
Source: RefSeq